This 2743-nucleotide long non-coding RNA is filed under the name Homo sapiens (human). RNAcentral describes it as "HSALNT0317332". The record is from RNAcentral. Lineage: Eukaryota; Metazoa; Chordata; Mammalia; Primates; Hominidae.
AGAGGAAGCUGUGUGAGAUGGAGUUUUGUUCUUGUUGCCCAGGCUGGAAUGCAAUGGCGCGAUCUCAGCUCACUGCAACCUCUGCCUCCUGGGUUCAAGCGAUUCUCCUGGUUCAGCCUCCUGAGUAGCUGGGAUUACAGGAAUGCGCCACCACACCUGGCUACUUUUGUAUUUUUAGUAGAGAUGGGGUUUCUCCACGUGCAUCAGGCUAGUCUCACACUCCCGACUUCAGAUGAUCCACCCGCCUCGGCCUCCCAAAGUGCUGGGAUUACAGGCGUGAGCCACCGUGCCUGGCCAAAGCCUUCUUCACUUUCAUUUUGUGGCUGCUGUUGUGAAAUCUGCAGAACCUCAAGCUGUUUGGACUCCAUCUUCUAGGUUGAAUUAGAUUACAGGUAAUCUCAUGGUGGAGGUGUAUUCUGGAUCGACUCACUUUUGAAAUGUUUAUGAAAGAAAUUCCUUCACCUCGGGACUUCCACACUGGAGCUGGCAAUCAGUAUCACCUUAAUUUACCUAUCACAGUGAGGCAUCUCUGCUCUGAGGAAAACAAAACAAAACAAAACAAAACAAAAAAGAAGAGCUAAUGGUUCUGUUUUGUUUUGUUGUUUUAGAGACAGGGUCUUGCUCUGUCGCCCGGGCUGGAAUGCAGUGACAUCAUCACAGCUCACUGUAGCCUUGAUCUCCUGGGCUCAAGCGAUCCUUCUGCCUCAGCCUGAGUAGCUGGGAUGGGACUACAGAUGCACGCCACCACACAUGGCUAAUUUUUUUAUUUUUUAGAGACGAGGUCCCAUGUGAGCCACGGUGCCCCACCUUUUAAAGCAAUUACCGUAAGGAAGCAACUGUCUUUAGCAAAUAGAAGAUCAUAAACAUCCUUCUGGAGAUCUUGAGAUGUUGACUGUGGUUUAUAGGGCAAUGAAAAUCUACAUACCUGAGUGGGGCAGUGAGACAUGAGUGCCACCUAUGAUCCUUCCAGUGAGCAAUUCUUUCUGGUGCCAGGAGCCCAAAGGAAACUCAGUCAACCAGCUGUAGAUGGGCUUGUUCCGAGUUUGUUCUAGAAGUCAGAACUGCCAGCUCUGAAAGUAGGUCACAAGUGACUGGCCAUCCCUGGGCUGCUCACAGGAAGUAGCUGCAAAGGUCAGGGAAAGUUUUUAAUGACUAUACAGGCCAGUGAAUGACAGGCUUUGAGGAGCUUCUCUUCUUGGCAUCUGAAACAGGCACAUGGAGGAGCUGCCUUGGAGACAGAAUGACAGCUGUGGCAAUGUGAGCCUGAUUCCUCAGCCCCAUAAAAUAGAUGCCUUUGCAAAAAACCCAUUUAUUUUUUUUUUUUUCUGUUUUUGAGAGGGAGUCUCGCUCUGUCCCCCCAGGCGGAGUGCAGUGGCGUGAUCUCGGCUCACUGCAACUUCUGCCUCCCGGGUUCAAGCGAUUCUCCUGCCUCAGCUCCCAAGUAGCUGAGAUUACAGGCAUCCGCCACCACGCCUGGCCAAUUUUGUAUUUUAGUAGAGACGGGGUUUUGCCACAUUGGCCAGGCUGGGAAAAAGCCCAUUUCUAUACAGAGGAAUCAUCUUGCAGGACUCAAGGAAUGAUUAAGAGGAAUCUACAGCAUUAACUUUAGAAACUCGAUGCAAUAUUCCCAAGAGGAGUUAAGAUUGGGAUAAGUAAUCUCUGAAUUAAUUUCAACCUUGAGAUGUUGUGAUCCUAUGAAGUCAAAGACAUAUUUCUUUUUUCUUUGUUUGAGAUGGAGUCUUGCUCUGUCACCCAAAUUGGAGGGCGGUGAUGUGAUCUCGGCUUACUACGACCUCUGCCUCCUGGGUUCAAGCGAUUCUCAGCUUCAGCCUCCUGAGUAGCUGAGAUUACAGGUGCCCGCCACCAUGCCCGGCUAAUUUUUGUAUUUUUAGUAGAGAUGAGGUUUCACUGUGUUGGCCAGGCUGGUCUUGAAUUCUUGGCCCCAGGUGAUCUGCCCGCCUGGGCCUCCCAAAGUGCUGGGAUUACAGGAGUGAGCACCAUGUCCGGUCUAGAUACAUAUUUCUAUUAAUACACAUUUGCAGGGAUUGUUUGUUACUGAAGUUGACGCCUUGUGCUUGAGAAUGCUAUUUCACUGACACAAUUGUUAUGGUAUAAAUGUGAGAGUAUAGUUACAAUCUGGACACUAUUUUUUGCUUGUCUUAUUGGCCCAGCAACCAGCUUGACACUGGGGACUAUCAGGCUCCAAAUAAUAACCAAUGUCUCACUCCAAACAGACAGGAUACUACGGAGCCAGGGUCAGCAAACAUUUUCUGUAAAGGGCCAGAUAGUAAAUAUUUUGGGCUUUGUGGGCCCUAUGGUCUCUGUCACAACGAUUCAACUCUGCUGUUGUAACAAAAAAGCAGUCAGACAAUAUGUAAAUGAAUGGGCAUGGCUGUGUUCCAGUAAAACCACAAAAACAGGCAGCUAGCUUUGGUGUGGGGCCCUAAGAGCUUGGACUUUGAAGCCAGGUUCAAAUCCUGGCUUUCUCACCUUCUAGCUCCGUUACCUUAAAGAACUUCAUUAUCUUCCUUGUAUUUUAGUCUUUUCAUCUCUAAAUUAGUGAUAGUACUUAACAGUGUUGUUAUAAAGAUUAAACGAGUUAAGUUUGUAAAGUACUUAAACAGUGCCUACCAGGUAGUAAGUGCUAUAGCAGAGUGUGUUAGAUAAUGAAACAUCCUGUGCUGUGGAUAUAUUAUUCCCAUUACGAUUUGGAUUCAAAUAAAGAAAUACAUGACUUAGAAGA